UUUGAUCCUGGCUCAGAUUGAACGCUGGCGGGAUGCUUUACACAUGCAAGUCGGACGGCAGCACGGGCUUCGGCUGGUGGCGAGUGGCGAACGGGUGAGUAAUGUAUCGGAACGUGCCCAGUAGCGGGGGAUAACUACGCGAAAGCGUGGCUAAUACCGCAUACGCCCUACGGGGGAAAGCGGGGGACCUUCGGGCCUCGCACUAUUGGAGCGGCCGAUAUCGGAUUAGCUAGUUGGUGGGGUAACGGCCUACCAAGGCGACGAUCCGUAGCUGGUUUGAGAGGACGACCAGCCACACUGGGACUGAGACACGGCCCAGACUCCUACGGGAGGCAGCAGUGGGGAAUUUUGGACAAUGGGGGCAACCCUGAUCCAGCCAUCCCGCGUGUGCGAUGAAGGCCUUCGGGUUGUAAAGCACUUUUGGCAGGAAAGAAACGGCACGGGCUAAUAUCCUGUGCAACUGACGGUACCUGCAGAAUAAGCACCGGCUAACUACGUGCCAGCAGCCGCGGUAAUACGUAGGGUGCAAGCGUUAAUCGGAAUUACUGGGCGUAAAGCGUGCGCAGGCGGUUCGGAAAGAAAGAUGUGAAAUCCCAGGGCUUAACCUUGGAACUGCAUUUUUAACUACCGGGCUAGAGUGUGUCAGAGGGAGGUGGAAUUCCGCGUGUAGCAGUGAAAUGCGUAGAUAUGCGGAGGAACACCGAUGGCGAAGGCAGCCUCCUGGGAUAACACUGACGCUCAUGCACGAAAGUGUGGGGAGCAAACAGGAUUAGAUACCCUGGUAGUCACGCCCUAAACGAUGUCAACUACUGUUGGGGCCUUCGGGCCUUGGUAGCGCAGCUAACGCGUGAAGUUGACCGCCUGGGGAGUACGGUCGCAAGAUUAAAACUCAAAGGAAUUGACGGGGACCCGCACAAGCGGUGGAUGAUGUGGAUUAAUUCGAUGCAACGCGAAAAACCUUACCUACCCUUGACAUGUCUGGAAUCCCGAAGAGAUUUGGGAGUGCUCGCAAGAGAACCGGAACACAGGUGCUGCAUGGCUGUCGUCAGCUCGUGUCGUGAGAUGUUGGGUUAAGUCCCGCAACGAGCGCAACCCUUGUCAUUAGUUGCUACGAAAGGGCACUCUAAUGAGACUGCCGGUGACAAACCGGAGGAAGGUGGGGAUGACGUCAAGUCCUCAUGGCCCUUAUGGGUAGGGCUUCACACGUCAUACAAUGGUCGGGACAGAGGGUUGCCAACCCGCGAGGGGGAGCCAAUCCCAGAAACCCGGUCGUAGUCCGGAUCGCAGUCUGCAACUCGACUGCGUGAAGUCGGAAUCGCUAGUAAUCGCGGAUCAGCAUGUCGCGGUGAAUACGUUCCCGGGUCUUGUACACACCGCCCGUCACACCAUGGGAGUGGGUUUUACCAAAAGUAGUUAGCCUAACCGCAAGGGGGGCGAUUACCACGGUAGGAUUCAUGACUGGGGUGAA
RNAcentral lists this ribosomal RNA (1468 nucleotides) under Bordetella pertussis. RNAcentral describes it as "16S ribosomal RNA". It matches the Rfam family "Bacterial small subunit ribosomal RNA". Lineage: Bacteria; Pseudomonadati; Pseudomonadota; Betaproteobacteria; Burkholderiales; Alcaligenaceae. The record is from RNAcentral.